This 254-nucleotide ribosomal RNA is filed under the name uncultured bacterium. RNAcentral's name for it is "partial 16S ribosomal RNA". It matches the Rfam family "Bacterial small subunit ribosomal RNA", at positions 524 to 776 of the family's 1533-position model. The record is from RNAcentral.
CACGUAGGGUGCGAGCGUUGUCCGGAAUUAUUGGGCGUAAAGAGCUCGUAGGCGGUGUGUCGCGUCGGCCGUGAAAACCUGCAGCUUAACUGUGGGCUUGCGGUCGAUACGGGCAUCACUGGAGUUCGGCAGGGGAGACUGGAAUUUACGGUGUAGCGGUGAAAUGCGUAGAUAUCGUAAGGAAGACCAGUGGCGAAGGCGGGUCUCUGGACAGUUCCUGACGCUGAGGCACGAAGGCCAGGGGAGCAAACGGG